GACGAACGCUGGCGGCGUGCUUAACACAUGCAAGUCGAACGGAAAGGCCCUGCUUUUGUGGGGUGCUCGAGUGGCGAACGGGUGAGUAACACGUGAGUAACCUGCCCUUGACUUUGGGAUAACUUCAGGAAACUGGGGCUAAUACCGGAUAGGAGCUCCUGCUGCAUGGUGGGGGUUGGAAAGUUUCGGCGGUUGGGGAUGGACUCGCGGCUUAUCAGCUUGUUGGUGGGGUAGUGGCUUACCAAGGCUUUGACGGGUAGCCGGCCUGAGAGGGUGACCGGCCACACUGGGACUGAGAUACGGCCCAGCCUCCUACGGGAGGCAGCAGUGGGGAAUAUUGCACAAUGGGCGGAAGCCUGAUGCAGCAACGCCGCGUGCGGGAUGACGGCCUUCGGGUUGUAAACCGCUUUCGCCUGUGACGAAGCGUGAGUGACGGUAAUGGGUAAAGAAGCACCGGCUAACUACGUG
Molecule: ribosomal RNA, 468 nt
Filed under: uncultured bacterium
Lineage: Bacteria
Description: partial 16S ribosomal RNA
Rfam family: Bacterial small subunit ribosomal RNA
Source: RNAcentral